This 413-nucleotide ribosomal RNA is filed under the name uncultured prokaryote. RNAcentral describes it as "bacterial SSU rRNA". It matches the Rfam family "Bacterial small subunit ribosomal RNA", at positions 505 to 918 of the family's 1533-position model. The record is from RNAcentral.
GUGUCAGCCGCCGCGGUAAUACGUAGGGUGCGAGCGUUAAUCGGAAUUACUGGGCGUAAAGCGUGCGCAGGCGGUUAUAUAAGACAGAUGUGAAAUCCCCGGGCUCAACCUGGGACCUGCAUUUGUGACUGUAUAGCUAGAGUACGGUAGAGGGGGAUGGAAUUCCGCGUGUAGCAGUGAAAUGCGUAGAUAUGCGGAGGAACACCGAUGGCGAAGGCAAUCCCCUGGACCUGUACUGACGCUCAUGCACGAAAGCGUGGGGAGCAAACAGGAUUAGAUACCCUGGUAGUCCACGCCCUAAACGAUGUCAACUGGUUGUUGGGUCUUCACUGACUCAGUAACGAAGCUAACGCGUGAAGUUGACCGCCUGGGGAGUACGGCCGCAAGGUUGAAACUUAAAGGAAUUGACGGGG